UGGGAUCAAAAGAAGGCACAGUGAAUUCCUCAUAGCAUCUUCUUUGGGGUUAUUUAGGCACCAGAACUCUUCAUAAAACAAAAAAUUCUACCAAGGAAUCCCUUUACCUAAUGGCAUCUCACAAGACUACAGACGUGGGAAAAGGCCUCAUGACACAUCAAGAGAGCACCUA
This is an unclassified non-coding RNA of Spermophilus dauricus (Daurian ground squirrel), 172 nucleotides long. Lineage: Eukaryota; Metazoa; Chordata; Mammalia; Rodentia; Sciuridae. The record is from Ensembl.